AGGUGCCUGCCCAACCACUCUGUCCCGGUUUCCUUCAGCAGGACCAGGUCCUUCCUUGUCUCCUUCCCCUCAGCAGUUUGCAGGAACCACCCUGGCAGUAAUGGUGCAGAUGGCUUAUGCACAGCUGGUGGUGACCCGACUUUCCCGUCUCCACCCUGAGGCUCCUCAGAGGCUUCAUGGAACCCAAACUGCUGGUCUCACCUCCGAACCCUGCCCUCGCCCAGGGAGGGCGGCUCCGUCCCUCCUGCACUCCCUAAACCCGCUCUGAAUCACCGCUUCUGUUCUGGGUCGGAGAAUAAAGGUGGGGUUUGC
RNAcentral lists this small RNA (312 nucleotides) under Pongo abelii (Sumatran orangutan). RNAcentral's name for it is "processed transcript". The record is from RNAcentral. Lineage: Eukaryota; Metazoa; Chordata; Mammalia; Primates; Hominidae.